RNAcentral lists this long non-coding RNA (230 nucleotides) under Elaeis guineensis (African oil palm). Its description in RNAcentral is "long non-coding RNA (EGUI_LNC048422)". The record is from RNAcentral. Lineage: Eukaryota; Viridiplantae; Streptophyta; Magnoliopsida; Arecales; Arecaceae.
AGACCGCCACAGUGACUUGCAAGCAAGUCACUGCACUUAGGCACUGGACUACCUGAAUUUUUAAUUCAGUGACGGAAGGCUGCUGGGUGUAGUCAAGUACUUGACUUGUCGGUGCGUGUGUCAAGAUGGAAUUGACCACUCCAGUUCAGAAGCUGUGUACAGUCGUGUUUCAAUUUAGUAAAACCUUGAUCAGGGUAGUCCUAGUGAGGAGUCACAGGACUGUUUGAGUU